CCCUAGGGAUCUCAUGUCUUUGGGACAUUUGUCAGCCAUGGCAUAUUUUUGUUUAUUGGCAAAACUGUCAACAUUUAAUUGGUGUUAGAUUCCGACUUGCACAAGUAACAUGU
Molecule: small nucleolar RNA, 113 nt
Organism: Fukomys damarensis (Damara mole-rat)
Lineage: Eukaryota; Metazoa; Chordata; Mammalia; Rodentia; Bathyergidae
Source: Ensembl